UUACUCCUACCCAAAAAAAAAAAUAAUAAAGUUACAAGAAUCAAUAAGUUCUAGCAUGUUCAUGCAUUAAAUUUGUGCCAUGACGUAUCCAAAACUGUAUUCUCAAAGGAUUAAUUAAAUUUAUCACAUUGACACAUUUAAUGAGUUUGGAUGUUGCAUUACAGAAGCCUAGUUCCGCAUCACUGUCUCUAUGUUACUGAAUGGCCC
RNAcentral lists this long non-coding RNA (207 nucleotides) under Elaeis guineensis (African oil palm). Its description in RNAcentral is "long non-coding RNA (EGUI_LNC012595)". The record is from RNAcentral. Lineage: Eukaryota; Viridiplantae; Streptophyta; Magnoliopsida; Arecales; Arecaceae.